This 329-nucleotide unclassified non-coding RNA is filed under the name soil metagenome. RNAcentral's name for it is "partial contains 5.8S ribosomal RNA, internal transcribed spacer 2, and large subunit ribosomal RNA". The stretch from base 1 to 120 matches the Rfam family "5.8S ribosomal RNA", at positions 35 to 154 of the family's 154-position model. The record is from RNAcentral.
GAUGAAGAACGUAGCGAAAUGCGAUAAGUAGUGUGAAUUGCAGAAUUCAGUGAAUCAUCGAAUCUUUGAACGCACAUUGCGCCCCUUGGUAUCCCGAGGGGCAUGCCUGUUCGAGCGUCAUUUCACCACUCGAGCCUGGCUUGGUGUUGGGCGACGUCCCCUUUGGGGACGCGCCUCGAAACGCUCGGCGGCGUGGCACCGGCUUUAAGCGUAGCAGAAUCUUUCGCUUUGGAAGUCGGGGCCCCGUCUGCCGGAAGACCUACUCGCAAGGUUGACCUCGGAUCAGGCAGGGAUACCCGCUGAACUUAAGCAUAUCAAUAAGCGGAGGA